This 330-nucleotide long non-coding RNA is filed under the name Homo sapiens (human). RNAcentral's name for it is "non-protein coding lnc-SLC22A23-4:2". The record is from RNAcentral. Lineage: Eukaryota; Metazoa; Chordata; Mammalia; Primates; Hominidae.
CCUAAGUUUAGGAGCACGAAGAAGAGAAAAAGAUGGGUCUAGGGAUAGGGUUUUGGAAGAAUGGGGCAGAGCAGAUUAGAAGAAAAAAAAACAGUGGGGUUUGGGAUAUUAACCAGAUUUUGUGAAGGUGGUGGGCUGCGGAGUCUAGGUCAGAGAAGAAGUGAAGGCAGCAGGAAGGGGGUGGUGAGGAAAAAGCGUUGCACGGAAGAGUUGAACUUCUCCAAACCCUGGUGAAGGUGAAGACAGGUAGGGUUGGAGUAACUGAGAGGAUGAUCUGGAGGAGACAAGGUUGUAUUUAGAGAUGGGAUAAUCAGUCUCAGAGUUUGGGGU